This 72-nucleotide transfer RNA is filed under the name Phrynosoma platyrhinos (Desert horned lizard). RNAcentral describes it as "tRNA-OTHER". Lineage: Eukaryota; Metazoa; Chordata; Lepidosauria; Squamata; Phrynosomatidae. The record is from RNAcentral.
GCCAAUAUGGUGUAGUGGUUUGAGUGCUAGACUACAACUCUGGAGACCAGGGUUCAAUACCUAGCUCGGCCA